Passer domesticus (house sparrow) is the source of this 299-nucleotide long non-coding RNA. RefSeq lists it as uncharacterized. The transcript has 2 exons. Lineage: Eukaryota; Metazoa; Chordata; Aves; Passeriformes; Passeridae. The record is from RefSeq and is a predicted model, not a curated record.
UGCUGCUGCCCAGACUGCUGCAGAUGUCCUGGGAGAGAGCACAGGCUGGAAGGAAAGAGCUAUAGAAACUGCAUUCACAAACAAGCCCUAGCCACAGAUGUUUAUUCUUUGGGCCACAGCUGUCUUUUUGUUGUGUUUGAUAGGGCCCGUGCAACAGGGCUCCUGUUGAGGGAUGUCUCAGACCUGCAGGAACAAGUCAUCCUCUGUUCCCUCCAUUCUCUACUGACCACGCAGGCAUCCCAGGCGUUCACCUGUAAUUCCUGGGCUGUUCAGGGCCGCGGCAUAAAUCUUCUAACGCA